CAAGACCGACGGCCGACGAUGGAAGAGAAACCCCGGCGGCACGGUCACGGCCAACUCCGGUGAGUUUCUCCUCUCCUUAUUUCUUUUGUUUUUAUUUUCGUAAGUAGAAAGAAAUAAAAAGAAAUCAAACUAGAUGUAAAAACACACAAAAAUAAAGAAACGAAAAUUACUUCUCCGAUUCAAAGUUUAUGUUUUUAUUGCUCUUGUGUCCGUAAAAAGAGAGGAAGAGCCCCCUUUGCCGGCCAUCGGCCACCGCGCCAGUCGCCGGACGCCGGCGACGGCGCCGCCGUUCGCGAUGGCCGGAAAACAAAAAAAGCUCCCUUUUUCUCCUUUUUGCGAAUAGAGUCCAGAUCUGGGGUUAGAAAAGCCGAAAUCCCGGCGAAAAGGGCCGAAAUCGAAAGAGACCUUUCGGUUCUUCCUCUUUCCACCGCCGCCGGAAACAGGUAAACUCCUUUUUACUUUUAUUUUUUUAUCUUAUAUAUAUGUGUGUUGAUUGAAUGAUAAUAAAAAAGAGAAAGAAAUACUAUAGAAAAACCGAAAUAGAACGAAAAUAAAGAAAACGCAAUCGAAAAAAAACAAGGUGAAUCACCUUCUAAAGCCCCCUUUUUUAUUUCUUUCAAUUUUUUCAAAAGCCGAAUCUUCUCUUUUUUUUUGUUACAAAAGUCCCCCCUCUUUUUUUUUGUUUCUCCCCCCUGGUUCGAUUUUGCUUGUGGCUUUUAUAGCCAAAAAUACAAUAUUCUGUUAAUGUUUAUUGCUCCAUUUUUUGUCCUUUUCCUUUGCUUGUUUGCAGGUGCUGCAAAAGGCAUGGUGGUGGUAGACGGUAUGGGGGUGUGUGAUGGUGCUGGUGGCAGACAGCAUGGGAGAGUGGGAGUGGUGCUGGUGGCAGACAGCAUGGGAGAGUGGGAAGAGGCAAGUGGGAGUUUAGGGUUUUGGGAUUGGGCUUGGAUGUUGGGCUAGGUUAAUUUUAGGUUUUGGGUUUGAGGAUGAGUUAAAUGGGCUUGGGAUUUUAUUUUGGAUUUUAUUAUUUGGGUUAUUUUGUUGGUAUGGGCCCGGGCAAAAAUGGACUUUUACUUAUUACAGAUUAAGAUUAGACCACUCCCAUGGGAUUUUAUCCUUAAACUUUUGUCGGUAGAAACGCCAAGUAAUUCUAAAGAAGGCUUAGCUUAGGUGUUCACAUUAAAUGAUUGAUGACUCGUAUGGUUUUGAUUGUAAAUCAAAGUUGUGCGUCUGGCUUUUCGCAAACAAA
RNAcentral lists this long non-coding RNA (1246 nucleotides) under Gossypium barbadense (sea-island cotton). Its description in RNAcentral is "long non-coding RNA (GBAR_LNC007748)". The record is from RNAcentral. Lineage: Eukaryota; Viridiplantae; Streptophyta; Magnoliopsida; Malvales; Malvaceae.